This 539-nucleotide ribosomal RNA is filed under the name Salmonella enterica subsp. enterica serovar Enteritidis. RNAcentral's name for it is "bacterial SSU rRNA". It matches the Rfam family "Bacterial small subunit ribosomal RNA", at positions 983 to 1522 of the family's 1533-position model. The record is from RNAcentral. Lineage: Bacteria; Pseudomonadati; Pseudomonadota; Gammaproteobacteria; Enterobacterales; Enterobacteriaceae.
GACAUCCACAGAAGAAUCCAGAGAUGGAUUUGUGCCUUCGGGAACUGUGAGACAGGUGCUGCAUGGCUGUCGUCAGCUCGUGUUGUGAAAUGUUGGGUUAAGUCCCGCAACGAGCGCAACCCUUAUCCUUUGUUGCCAGCGGUUAGGCCGGGAACUCAAAGGAGACUGCCAGUGAUAAACUGGAGGAAGGUGGGGAUGACGUCAAGUCAUCAUGGCCCUUACGACCAGGGCUACACACGUGCUACAAUGGCGCAUACAAAGAGAAGCGACCUCGCGAGAGCAAGCGGACCUCAUAAAGUGCGUCGUAGUCCGGAUUGGAGUCUGCAACUCGACUCCAUGAAGUCGGAAUCGCUAGUAAUCGUGGAUCAGAAUGCCACGGUGAAUACGUUCCCGGGCCUUGUACACACCGCCCGUCACACCAUGGGAGUGGGUUGCAAAAGAAGUAGGUAGCUUAACCUUCGGGAGGGCGCUUACCACUUUGUGAUUCAUGACUGGGGUGAAGUCGUAACAAGGUAACCGUAGGGGAACCUGCGGUUGGA